GCCGGGGUGGUGAAAUUGGCAAACACGCAGGUUUCAAAAACCUGUGAGCGCAAGCUCUUGAGGGUUCAAGUCCCUCCCUCGGCACCA
RNAcentral lists this transfer RNA (87 nucleotides) under Patescibacteria group bacterium. Its description in RNAcentral is "tRNA-Leu". It matches the Rfam family "tRNA". Rfam says of the family: Transfer RNA (tRNA) molecules are approximately 80 nucleotides in length. Their secondary structure includes four short double-helical elements and three loops (D, anti-codon, and T loops). Further hydrogen bonds mediate the characteristic L-shaped molecular structure. tRNAs have two regions of fundamental functional importance: the anti-codon, which is responsible for specific mRNA codon recognition, and the 3' end, to which the tRNAs corresponding amino acid is attached (by aminoacyl-tRNA synthetases). tRNAs cope with the degeneracy of the genetic code in two manners: having more than one tRNA (with a specific anti-codon) for a particular amino acid; and 'wobble' base-pairing, i.e. permitting non-standard base-pairing at the 3rd anti-codon position. The record is from RNAcentral. RNAcentral also lists the same sequence under 1 other name.